Non-coding RNA from Aegilops tauschii subsp. strangulata, 1118 nucleotides. The record is from RefSeq and is a predicted model, not a curated record. NCBI's taxonomy places the organism in Eukaryota, Viridiplantae, Streptophyta, Magnoliopsida, Poales, Poaceae.
GUGCCAGGCUGCCAACCACUGCCCUUGCACCUUAUCCCCAUCCCCUCGUCCUCGCGCUCAACCCACGGCCCUGUCGCCGUCGCCGCCGUAUUAUCUCUCCACCACGGUCCUGCUACCGUCGCCGCCGUCGUCGCGCUCUCUCCGAGAUCCAGCCGCCAUCCUCGCGCUCCGCCCAUGAUGCAGCAACCGUCGCCGCGCUCUGCCCGGGAUCGAGCCGCCGUCCUCCGCGCUCUGCCUGAGAUCCAUCCGCCGUCCUCGCGCUCAUGGAUCCACCCCCUCCCCUGAUCCCCGUCCUCCAGCCCCCAACUUUGUCUGCCAUCUCCCUCGCGCUUCUCCCCUGCCGCUCCCCGGGCCCCAGCCCUACCAUGAGCUCUCCAUCCGUGCUCCCCGUUCCUACUGCCGCUGAUAGAGAUCCAUCCACGAGCUCUCCAUCCCGCUGCGCCCCUCCCAAAGCCAGCCGUCUGUUGCUGCAGAUAUCCGCACAGACUCGUCUUUUCCAAUAGGAGCGGUUGUACAUGAUGUUGAGCCUACAGGGCAGCAAGUACGUGGUACUACCUGUCAACGAGGACGAGGAGGUGGGCGAGCGGAGGGCGCCGAGGUGGACCCUGAGUCCAGUCAGCGUUUGAGGAGGCACAUUCCAAUUUUAUUCUCCAUCACUUUUGAAUACACUGGAUAUUUAUGAAUAACGGUGUCUUCGUUUGAUAUAAUUUUUUUAUGAUGGUUGAUACAUGUCUACACAUUUUGUCAGAGCAAUUUGCAGUGGAAGAAGUAGCCUCAAACUGAUAAGAAGGCACCUGCUAUUUCACGGUUAUUUUGUUGUAGAUCAAGGAUGACAAGAAGGCAACUAAUGUACCAGGUGCAGGUAAUCAGCAACCUAGUACGCAUGGAUGUGAUGACUUUGAAGUGUUCUGGAGCAUUUGGCUGUCUAUAGUAUUUUGGACCAGCCAACUUAAUUGUAAUCGUGAAUCUUAUGUGUUUUCUGGACCAUUUGGUGCUCAAGUGUUAUGGAGUAGAAAUCUUGUGCUCAUGGAUGUUACUCAAUUAUUUGGACCAUCUAGUGUUUGAACUAUUUUAGACCAGUGAAUUGGGGUCCUUUUAUGUGACUUGUGUUUUCUGGA